Molecule: long non-coding RNA, 416 nt
Organism: Pan troglodytes (chimpanzee)
Lineage: Eukaryota; Metazoa; Chordata; Mammalia; Primates; Hominidae
Exons: 4
Source: RefSeq, a predicted model, not a curated record
AUCAAACCAUGACUGCAGCUGAACAACACCUGACGGGACAAAAGGAAAAUAAAAAGGCUGGACAAGAUACAUGGUGGAGGGAUGUACAUACAAAGAGCUGGGAAAAAGGACAGAUAAUUUUAUGGGGAAGAGGAUUUGCUUGUGUCUCUCCAGGUGGCUUCCUCUGACACCACUCUGGCAAGGGAAGAGGGGCACUGCCUCAUUACUGUCAGCACCCAGAGAUCCUCUCUGCACCACACCACCUUGUCUGCUGGGAAGUGGGGGAGGAGUGGCCUCAGUGAUUCAAGACUCUCCUUUCUACCUCUUGAGAGUGUCUUUCAGCAAUACGAAGUUGAAACCAGUGAGAAGAUUAAGCCAUCAGCUGAGAAUAAAGGACAUGGAGAACAGAUUGGAUUACAGAAGUCAUGACUGCACUU